This 443-nucleotide ribosomal RNA is filed under the name Photobacterium rosenbergii. Its description in RNAcentral is "bacterial SSU rRNA". It matches the Rfam family "Bacterial small subunit ribosomal RNA", at positions 66 to 494 of the family's 1533-position model. The record is from RNAcentral. Lineage: Bacteria; Pseudomonadati; Pseudomonadota; Gammaproteobacteria; Vibrionales; Vibrionaceae.
GCGACAUAAACAAUCCUUCGGGUGCGCUUAUGGGCGGCGAGCGGCGGACGGGUGAGUAAUGCCUGGGAAUAUGCCCUGAUGUGGGGGAUAACCAUUGGAAACGAUGGCUAAUACCGCAUAAUCUCUUCGGAGCAAAGAGGGGGACCUUCGGGCCUCUCGCGUCAGGAUUAGCCCAGGUGAGAUUAGCUAGUUGGUGAGGUAAGAGCUCACCAAGGCGACGAUCUCUAGCUGGUCUGAGAGGAUGAUCAGCCACACUGGAACUGAGACACGGUCCAGACUCCUACGGGAGGCAGCAGUGGGGAAUAUUGCACAAUGGGGGAAACCCUGAUGCAGCCAUGCCGCGUGUGUGAAGAAGGCCUUCGGGUUGUAAAGCACUUUCAGUUGUGAGGAAGGCAUAUACGUUAAUAGCGUAUGUGUUUGACGUUAGCAACAGAAGAAGCACC